GACGAACGCUGGCGGCGUGCUUAACACAUGCAAGUCGAACGGAAAGGCCCUGCUUUUGUGGGGUGCUCGAGUGGCGAACGGGUGAGUAACACGUGAGUAGCCUGCCCUUGACUUUGGGAUAACUUCAGGAAACUGGGGCUAAUACCGGAUAGGAGCUCCUGCUGCAUGGUGGGGGUUGGAACGUUUAGGCGGUUAGGGCUGAACUCGCGGCUUAUCAGCUUGUUGGUGGGGUAGUGGCUUACCAAGGCUUUGACGGGUAGCCGGCCUGAGAGGGUGACCGGCCACAUUGGGACUGAGAUACGGCCCAGACUCCAACGGGAGGCAGCAGUGGGGAAUAUUGCACAAUGGGCGGAAGCCUGAUGCAGCAACGCCGCGUGCGGGAUGACGGCCUUCGGGUUGUAAACCGCUUUCGCCUGUGACGAAGCGUGAGUGACGGUAAUGGGUAAAGAAGCACCGGCUAACUACGUG
RNAcentral lists this ribosomal RNA (468 nucleotides) under uncultured bacterium. Its description in RNAcentral is "partial 16S ribosomal RNA". It matches the Rfam family "Bacterial small subunit ribosomal RNA", at positions 28 to 507 of the family's 1533-position model. The record is from RNAcentral.